This is a long non-coding RNA of Canis lupus familiaris (dog), 1508 nucleotides long. RefSeq lists it as uncharacterized. NCBI's taxonomy places the organism in Eukaryota, Metazoa, Chordata, Mammalia, Carnivora, Canidae. The transcript has 3 exons. The record is from RefSeq and is a predicted model, not a curated record.
UAUAUAGACAGUGUCAGCAAUAUAAAUAUUCAGUGUUGUUUUAACAGCGGUAUACAUUUAGACAGCACUUUCAUUUUAUCUCCAGUAUUUAUGCACAAACACAUUAAAAGUAGACAACUAUGUUAUAUAUCACUCAUAUUCUCCAUUUAAUUUUAUUUUAAUCUGUCUUCUGUGCUUUCCAUCUCAGAGUCAAUAACUCUUUCCUCCCGCCUCACAUGCCCUGUCAACUUUCUUGUAUCUGAGUAAUUUUAAAUGAAAUCCUAUUUAUCACUGCGUGCUUGGUUUCUUGUACCCCUGUUGACACCAAGAUUAUUAGACUUUAUUUCGUAUGUAUAAAAUAAGAAAAAAAAUCCUUGUACCACUACCCAUUAAAAUCAGCAUCAUACCUCUAUUAUCUUUUGUUCUUUAAGAAGUAUCUAACAAAAACUCCUAAAACUGUUGGUCCUGUUCUUUCCUGCUACCGCUGAUAGACCUUAGAUUUUAGACUUAUUUUUAUAUUACGUGAAUAUGGGCAGGAUAAAGUCUAUGAAAAGAAUCAAGGUUGUAUCUGGGGAUGAUAGCAAGCCAUCAUCAUGGGCCCCCAGAGUUGCUGGUACUGGUGAUGAUCCAGGGCAUAGAAUCCCUGGUUGCAUCGAUGCAAUUUUAAAAUUACAGUUAGGGCUAACACAUGACAAAUCCAGGCAAACAAUGAGUUUUUUUAUAAACACGGUGUUGAGUAACCUCUUCAAUAACAUAUUUUCCUUAAAUUGUUUCUGUUUUCUCUCCUUUGGAUCACAUACAUAUUUUAAGCUACCAAACUUCAUCGGCAAUGAAUCAAGUAGGAUUUCAUGUUCCUCUAAUAACCAGGAACGUUUAGGACCACUGUCUUCCUUGCGUGUUCGGAAUCCUCAGCGUCACGAGUACCUGAGUCCCUAAGGUUUGGUCAAUGAAGACACAACACCAGAGGAAAGCUAGUGCCUGAGUUGUUAGACGCCCUUCUGUGGUUUUUUGUUUUGUUAUUACAUGGUUCGUGGAGCAGAGAAAAGAGAAGUCUGAAAAUAAAAGAAUCUUAGAAGACCUUGUUUCAAGGAAGAAAUGCCAAGCCACAGUGGUGGAAAAAAAAUAAUAAUAAUUAAGGCAAGAACAAUGACUCUACGAAGAAAAAAAGCAAAAUCUGUCAAAAUAGCUCUACAGCAAGUCCAAGAGGAGCCCAGCUCUCUUUCUGGAUGUUGCCUCUGAUGAGAAACAAGGGAGAAAAGCUUUACCAGUACUCACUGGAGAUUUUCAUUUAUUUUAACAGCAGCACUUCCAAGAUCAGUGAUUUGUAAAAUGUGCCCAGAGCUGAGCCCUUAGGAGCACUUCCAAAGAACAACCUAUCUGUUCCCCUUUGCCAACUCUGUAUUUAUUAUUGAAUAUACACAAUACAUUCAUGCCUCUGGCCUCUGGACAGAUUUUUGGGCUUUUUUUGGUUUGUUUCUUUUUCCAUUACAAAGGAUCCCCGUUAUCCUGUCUUAGCAUCGGAAAGCAUG